Molecule: long non-coding RNA, 208 nt
Organism: Rhipicephalus microplus (southern cattle tick)
Lineage: Eukaryota; Metazoa; Arthropoda; Arachnida; Ixodida; Ixodidae
Source: RefSeq, a predicted model, not a curated record
CUCGCUGCUGCGGCCGCGUUUACGAAAGAAGCACGCUGCUCGCACAUGAAAAACAUGCAGGUGACCAUGUGCUUGUGCCGUGUGCUCGAUGGCUCCCACAGCGUGAUCCACUGCGGCACAGUCGAAUUAGGACAACGCAAGCUAUUAAAUAACUGAGGAAUAAAUAAAAGAGAAAAUAGAAUUAAAGGAUGCAUAUCGAAGAACAAAA